This 450-nucleotide ribosomal RNA is filed under the name uncultured bacterium. RNAcentral describes it as "bacterial SSU rRNA". It matches the Rfam family "Bacterial small subunit ribosomal RNA", at positions 354 to 796 of the family's 1533-position model. The record is from RNAcentral.
GUGGGGAAUUUUGGACAAUGGGCGCAAGCCUGAUCCAGCAAUGCCGCGUGCAGGAAGAAGGCCUUCGGGUUGUAAACUGCUUUUGUACGGAACGAAACGGUCUGGGUUAAUACCCUGGACUAAUGACGGUACCGUAAGAAUAAGCACCGGCUAACUACGUGCCAGCAGCCGCGGUAAUACGUAGGGUGCAAGCGUUAAUCGGAAUUACUGGGCGUAAAGCGUGCGCAGGCGGUUUUGUAAGACAGGCGUGAAAUCCCCGGGCUCAACCUGGGAAUUGCGCUUGUGACUGCAAGGCUGGAGUGCGGCAGAGGGGGAUGGAAUUCCGCGUGUAGCAGUGAAAUGCGUAGAUAUGCGGAGGAACACCGAUGGCGAAGGCAAUCCCCUGGGCCUGCACUGACGCUCAUGCACGAAAGCGUGGGGAGCAAACAGGAUUAGAUACCCGAGUAGUCC